RNAcentral lists this ribosomal RNA (419 nucleotides) under uncultured Prevotella sp. Its description in RNAcentral is "bacterial SSU rRNA". It matches the Rfam family "Bacterial small subunit ribosomal RNA", at positions 358 to 774 of the family's 1533-position model. The record is from RNAcentral. Lineage: Bacteria; Pseudomonadati; Bacteroidota; Bacteroidia; Bacteroidales; Prevotellaceae.
GGAAUAUUGGUCAAUGGGCGCGAGCCUGAACCAGCCAAGUAGCGUGCAGGAUGACUGCCCUAUGGGUUGUAAACUGCUUUUAUGCGGGGAUAAAGUUCAGCACGUGUGCUGUUUUGUAGGUACCGCAUGAAUAAGGACCGGCUAAUUCCGUGCCAGCAGCCGCGGUAAUACGGAAGGUCCGGGCGUUAUCCGGAUUUAUUGGGUUUAAAGGGAGCGCAGGCCGGUUGGUAAGCGUGACGUGAAAUGUAGCCGCUCAACGGCUGCACUGCGUCGCGAACUGUCAGCCUUGAGUGAGUGCGACGUCAGCGGAAUUCGUGGUGUAGCGGUGAAAUGCUUAGAUAUCACGAAGAACCCCGAUUGCGAAGGCAGCUGACGAGUCCUUUACUGACGCUAAAGCUCGAAGGUGCGGGUAUCGAACA